Molecule: long non-coding RNA, 387 nt
Organism: Metopolophium dirhodum (rose-grain aphid)
Lineage: Eukaryota; Metazoa; Arthropoda; Insecta; Hemiptera; Aphididae
Exons: 3
Source: RefSeq, a predicted model, not a curated record
GCAAGUAUAAUCCAACUUUGCUUUAAAUUAUGCAGAAUCAACAAAUCAUUCUAAUUGGUUAAUACAAAAUUAAAUUAUUGAGAUAUGCGUUAAGCAUGUAAGGAAUACUAUUGUUGAAGAUAUAAUAAACGCUGGAAUGUAUAGCAUUUUGUGGGACGAAGCACGAUUCCAGAAAGAAGAACAGUUAGCUGUGUGUGUUCGUUAUCUAAAAAACCUUAAAGUAGAGGAACAAUUUGUUGGAUUUUUAGAUACAAAAUUAAUAUAAUAGUUUAAUCAUAUGGCGGUCCCAGUGUCAGAUGUUUUACAAAUUAUUCACAUUCGGAGUGCUCAAUUGCAAUAAAAAUCUGAUUGGAAAGUCAAGUUCAUUAGUAUGUGGUGCGAUUGAUA